GCACUGCUGAAGAGUACCAAAAUAGGAUGAAACAGCUGUCCAGUGC
Non-coding RNA from Schistosoma rodhaini, 46 nucleotides. The record is from Rfam. NCBI's taxonomy places the organism in Eukaryota, Metazoa, Platyhelminthes, Trematoda, Strigeidida, Schistosomatidae.